GACGAACGCUGGCGGCGUGCUUAACACAUGCAAGUCGAACGGAAAGGCCCUGCUUUUGUGGGGUGCUCGAUUGGCGAACGGGUGAGUAACACGUGAGUAACCUGCCCUUGACUUUGGGAUAACUUCAGGAAACUGGGGCUAAUACCGGAUAUGAGCUCCUGCUGCAUGGUGGGGGUUGGAAAGUUUCGGCGGUUGGGGAUGGACUCGCGGCUUAUCAGCUUGUUGGUGGGGUAGUGGCGUACCAAGGCUUUGACGGGUAGCCGGCCUGAGAGGGUGACCGGCCACAUUGGGACUGAGAUACGGCCCAGACUCCUACGGGAGGCAGCAGUGGGGAAUAUUGCACAAUGGGCGGAAGCCUGAUGCAGCAACGCCGCGUGCGGGAUGACGGCCUUCGGGUUGUAAACCGCUUUCGCCUGUGACGAAGCGUGAGUGACGGUAAUGGGUAAAGAAGCACCGGCUAACUACGUG
This 468-nucleotide ribosomal RNA is filed under the name uncultured bacterium. Its description in RNAcentral is "partial 16S ribosomal RNA". It matches the Rfam family "Bacterial small subunit ribosomal RNA", at positions 28 to 507 of the family's 1533-position model. The record is from RNAcentral.